Molecule: long non-coding RNA, 3076 nt
Organism: Equus caballus (horse)
Lineage: Eukaryota; Metazoa; Chordata; Mammalia; Perissodactyla; Equidae
Source: Ensembl
AACAAUUUUAGAGUCUAUUUAUCUUCUCAGGAUGAUCACCUUCACCAAAUCAUCCUGUCGUCUGCUUGCUGCAGGUUUCUAUAACGGAGAAGAUUGCAGGCCUGCAUACUUUAAAAUAAACAAAUAAGUAAAUUCCAUCUGUCUUUUUUGCUGAAAACACCCGUCACACAAGCCUUUGCAACAGAAGACUCUAGAUUUGGAAUAACACAAUGGCACCCAUGCAAAGAUGAAGAAACUAAAGCUCAGAGGGUCCCAAAGUCACACAGCAAGAAAAUCAUGCAGUCGGGACUUGAUGCUAACUCUCCUGGCCGUAAAGCCCCUGCUUCCCCACAGGGCCCGCUGCCUCUCACGUUGGCAGUUACGGACCACGUUACACGUGCCAAGCCUUUGUGUUGGUCUCGCGGUUAGAUAUACGUUCCCAUUUCUCCAAAACUUAGAGGGUAAAAAUACUCUGUCAACCAAGAAACUGAAAUAUCAUCUGCUGAACCAUGAAGGAGAAAGAGCAGCAAAUAAAAACUCUCGGAAGAUAAAGCCACCUCGCAAACAUGUCUAACCAGUGAGGGCCAGGCUUCUACGUGCUGAUGAAAUCGGGGACCAUACAAGAGGAAGCCCUUCUUUGUUCUAUUCUCCCUCCUUGGUCUGGAAGAGUGUCGAAGAGACACAGCAUAUUUCAAGCACAUCACUCUGAGCGCUAUCAAUAAGCAUCGGGGCUUGCUGAGACAUCUCUGCUGUUCCUGGAAUGUGGAGCCAUCCUGGCAUUUCCUUUCUAGUUUCUCUGCCCUUUUAUUGCCUGCUGAGUGCCAGGAACUGUCAAGCAGAGAAGAUGCCAUGUAGUCCUUGUCCUUGUCCUUACAGAGUACCGUGUCUGAUGGGGGAGGUAUUUUAGGAAACAUAUGCAGUAGCGUGUGGUGAGUAUAUCAGACGUGUAACAAAGAACGUCAAUGACACAAAGGAAGGAGUGAUCAACUGUGCCCGUGUGAGUCAAAGGAGGCUUUUUCUGGAGGUGCUUGAGUUGAGCUUUAAGGAAUCAAAGGACCACCAGGAGGUGGAGGAGUAUUCAAGACAGAGAAACAAUAUUGCCAAGACCCCAUGGCCGGAAAACCAGGGCACUGCUUUCCUCCAUGGCACCUGAGGCAUGAAGCAAGACAGUGGGGAAGGAGGCAGAGGAGGCCAGGGCUGAGCUGCUUCCCAAGGCUCCUAGGAAACACUUCUUGACUUGAUUUGAAAAAAUUCACUGAAGAACUGAAAAGAGGUUUGCUUGUUACUCCAGUAGACUUUCCAGAGAGGUUCCAUAUUGAAAAGGCUCAGGUAGGAACACAGACUGUUCAAUUAGAUGUGCUUGGGAGAAAGGCUAGUCUCAGCUGCUCUUGGAGCACAGGAAUAUGUGCAUCCUCAGCCAAGAGAGCAGGAAGAGCUGAAGGAACCAGAGAUGCCAUCAGCCUGGGCUAUGAACAGGACUCUCAGGAAAGACGCUGAGCCAUGAGUUUGUCGCUUCUGGCUACAGGUCAAUCCAAGCAGCUGACCACCAUCCAUUCACAUUCUGUCAUUCACUCAGCCAGUAUUUAUGGAGCGCCUACCACAUGCCAGGCCCUGUUUAAGUGCUGGGAAUACAACAGUGAACAGAGCAAUUUCCCUGCUGCAUGGACACUCAUUCUAGAGGAAAGAGACAAAACAACAUACAGAGAAGCAAGCCUAUCAGAGGGUGAGAGGAAGUAUCUGGUUCGGGAAAAAGCCUUCCUACUUUGAUUCAGCAGGCCAGUUUCCCACUUUUCUUCUUUUUUUAAAUCUCCUUUCCUCACUAUAUCCUGGCCACCCUCGUUCAUAGAAUGAGAAGGAAGAAAGAAACAGUGAAGGGAAGAAGGAGACAGGAGACAAAGGAGAAGCAACAGGAACCAAUGAUCGCUCCUUUGAAAUGUUUCUCACUUUCAACCAGGCAUGCCUCCACCCCAUUCCACCCCGCCACCCCCCUCCAAGCCAGGACACCUCACCCCUGGACUGCCACCCUCAUCCAAGGACCACCACCCUCAUCCAAGCCAGGACCCCUCACCCCUGGACCGCCACCCUCAUCCAAGCCAGGACCCCUCACCCCUGGACCGCCAUCCUCAUCCAAGCCAGGACCCCUCACCCCUGGACCGCCACCCUCAUCCAAGCCAGGACCCCUCACCCCUGGACCGCCACCCCCGUCCAAGCCAGGACACCUCACCCCUGGACCGCCACCCUCAUCCAAGCCAGGACACUUCACCCCUGGACCGUGGUACAACUACCUGGUGUGUCUCCUGCUUCCACUUCUGUGACGUCCUGCCCACAAUCCUUUUGCAGCACACUAGCCAAGAAAGUGCUCCGUGAUGAAGGACCUGCUUGGAUUUGGGGCACGUGGAGGGAGCACUUGCCUACCGUAGAGUGUGCACUUUCGUCGGCCGACCUUCCUGCACUUUCGGAAAACGGUUUACAAUGAGAGAACUGGGGACACUGGAUUUGAUCACAGUCCCAGCUGCCACUCACUGUCUUCUCCGCCAGUGUAGAGGAGCUUUUUAUGAUAUUACUGUCUUCUCAUUCCAGGUGAAAUUUAAAACGAGCCAAGUCAGUGCUGCCACUGCACUUGGAGAUUGUCUUUAUCAAAUGAUUCAACUUAAAUGUCCCUCCCCAGUCCUUCGUUUGUGUGUGUCAUUAUCUCCACUUUCUGCCUCUGCCUCCUUCACCACUUGUAAUCCAGCCAGCCCGCAUGACUGCCCUUCUCUAUCAAGUAGUUCUCCGUGUGACUGCCCCUCUGCGCACUCAGGACUCUGACCUCUCCCUGCUGGGGCAGGCUGCCUGCCUCCCUUAAUGAAAUAAAGCGGGACCCUGCACUGAACAAGCCAGUCUCGUCACACUUUCUUGAAUGCAUCGCGUCUUUGUCCUCUUCUGCCUGAAACAACUGUCCCCUCGACUCUUGGCACAGCUCGACUAUUCUUGUCCCUCACAUUUCCGUCUUCACAAGGCCUUUGCUGAUCCCCUCCUCUCCAACACCUGCCAUCCUCCAUUAUCUCCCUAGAGGCUUCCAAAAUAACUCUCACGAUUACAUCAUGCUUGGAAUUAC